CGAGUCUGAUGGAGCACGCCGCGUGAGUGAAGAAGGGUUUCGGCUCGUAAAACUCUGUUGUUAAAGAAGAACAUAUCUGAGAGUAACUGUUCAGGUAUUGACGGUAUUUAACCAGAAAGCCACGGCUAACUACGUGCCAGCAGCCGCGGUAAUACGUAGGUGGCAAGCGUUGUCCGGAUUUAUUGGGCGUAAAGCGAGCGCAGGCGGUUUUUUAAGUCUGAUGUGAAAGCCUUCGGCUCAACCGAAGAAGUGCAUCGGAAACUGGGAAACUUGAGUGCAGAAGAGGACAGUGGAACUCCAUGUGUAGCGGUGAAAUGCGUAGAUAUAUGGAAGAACACCAGUGGCGAAGGCGGCUGUCUGGUCUGUAACUGACGCUGAGGCUCGAAAGUAUGGGUAGCAAACAGGAUUAGAUACCCUGGUAGUCCAUACCGUAAACGAUGAAUGCUAAGUGUUGGAGGGUUUCCGCCCUUCAGUGCUGCAGCUAACGCAUUAAGCAUUCCGCCUGGGGAGUACGGCCGCAAGGCUGAAACUCAAAGGAAUUGACGGGGGCCCGCACAAGCGGUGGAGCAUGUGGUUUAAUUCGAAGCUACGCGAAGAACCUUACCAGGUCUUGACAUACUAUGCAAAUCUAAGAGAUUAGACGUUCCCUUCGGGGACAUGGAUACAGGUGGUGCAUGGUUGUCGUCAGCUCGUGUCGUGAGAUGUUGGGUUAAGUCCCGCAACGAGCGCAACCCUUAUUAUCAGUUGCCAGCAUUAAGUUGGGCACUCUGGUGAGACUGCCGGUGACAAACCGGAGGAAGGUGGGGAUGACGUCAAAUCAUCAUGCCCCUUAUGACCUGGGCUACACACGUGCUACAAUGGAUGGUACAACGAGUUGCGAACUCGCGAGAGUAAGC
Molecule: ribosomal RNA, 896 nt
Filed under: Lactiplantibacillus plantarum
Lineage: Bacteria; Bacillati; Bacillota; Bacilli; Lactobacillales; Lactobacillaceae
Description: bacterial SSU rRNA
Rfam family: Bacterial small subunit ribosomal RNA
Source: RNAcentral